RNAcentral lists this unclassified non-coding RNA (295 nucleotides) under Hevea brasiliensis (rubber tree). The record is from RNAcentral. Lineage: Eukaryota; Viridiplantae; Streptophyta; Magnoliopsida; Malpighiales; Euphorbiaceae.
AAACAUUCAAAGUGGAGAUCAGUUUUGCUGCUAAAAUACCCAUGCAAGCCAUUGCAAAUGCCCUUCGGGGACAGGAGUCAGAGAACUCUCAAGAAGCCAUAAGGGUUCUGGAUAUUAUAUUGCGUCAGCAUGCGGCUAAACAGGGCUGCCUCCUUGUUCGCCAAAACUUUUUUCAUAAUGAUCCAAGGAAUUUCGCAGAUGUUGGGGGUGGUGUUUUGGGCUGUAGAGGGUUUCAUUCAAGUUUUAGAACCACUCAGGGGGGCUUGUCUCUGAAUAUUGAUGUAUCUACAACCAU